Molecule: ribosomal RNA, 87 nt
Filed under: Hippocampus comes (tiger tail seahorse)
Lineage: Eukaryota; Metazoa; Chordata; Actinopteri; Syngnathiformes; Syngnathidae
Source: RNAcentral
UUAGGCAUCCUUAGUACCAUGCGAACACCCGAUCUCAUCUGAUCUUGGAAGCCAGGCAGGGUUUGGCCUGUUUUGGAGCUGCUUGGA